ACGAGCCCGCGGGAUCCUCGGAGAGUAUGGAACCCUUCCCCUCCGCUCUCAGCCGGAGGCCAGCUGCGUCCAGCCGGGCUCGGUCUUCUGAACACCGAUUUCAAAUCAGGUCCUCGGGGCCCAGCGUCACUUAGGGAAGUGGUGGCAUUUUGUGGUUGCUGCUAAAUCACGGAGAGCAGCCUUGGCGCUGCCGGUCCCAACUUGAUCCAAGGAGCCUUGAGAAGGAGAUGAGAUUCAGUACCAGGGGCCGGCCGUGGCUCCCAUCCUCCGGAAUCUGCAAAAUGGCUACUUCUUCAGAAAUAAUGGGGAGAGGGAUGGCAAGAGGCCAGAGAUCAAGGCCCUCGAGUAUUAACUUGAGCAUUUGGGCACAAAAUAGACACUUUUGGAUUUUCCCGUCUUUUCCAACACCAAGGAUGAGAUUAUCAAAAGAUGUGUUAAAUUAAUUUGUACCGGCCGGGCGCGGUGGCUUACGCCUGUAAUCCCAACACUUUGGGAGGCCGAGGCGGGCGAAUCACAAGGUCAUGAGUUCGAAACCAGCCUGGCCAAUAUGGUGAAACCCCCGUCUCUACUAAAAAUACAGAAAUUAGCCGGGAGUGGUGGCGUACGCCUGUAGUCCCAGCUACUCUGGAGGCUAAGGCAGGAGAAUCGCUUGAAUCCGGGAGGUGGAGGUCGCAGUGAGCCGAGACCGGGCCACUGCACUCCAGCCUGGGAGACAGAGCGAGACUCUGUCUCAAGAAAAAAAAAAAAUCAAUUUGUACCAUUCCUUGCCCCACCCUGCCGAACUUAUUGAAAGAGCAUCGCUUUCCUCACUUUUCUCCUCUAACAGAAAAGCACUUAGAUGAAGCUACAGGGAGCCAGAAUUCUUUUGACUUGGUGGGUACCGGAGGAUUGGAAGAAUCUAGAUUGAGUAUUCCUUGGCCUUUGGGGAGCUUGCUCUAUGCAAAGUCACCCAGGAAAUGAUACUCCCCCCACUGUGAAACACUAGCUAGAGAUGAUAGACAAAAAGCACAUUUGUUGUAAUCUCCCUUUGACGGGAUUCAGGUUGGGAUAGAUGUCGAAGCAGCUGCUUCUAGGUAGUCAACGAAGAUGUCAACUAGUAAAUGACAACAGACAAGGAUGAGCACAGCAGAGCUGUACGAUUCUAGAUAUCAAAAAGAGCAAGCAGUCUGUUGUACUCACCAUCGCAUCCUCAGCAGCUGCCCAGUGCCCGGUUUUAACUUAGUGCUCAGUGUAUGUGUCAGGUUUGAAUCCCAAUUCUGAUACUACCUGUGCUACUCUCUUCACCUCUCUGAGUCUGUAAAGGAUUAUUUAAGAAUUAAAUGAAACAACAUACAGAAAAGUGUCCUGCAUGUAUAUUUAGUGCCUAACAAAUAUUGGUUGAACGUCGAAAGUGGCAAGGAGGCUCAGUAUGUUCUUAUACGCUUUGCCUCCCUUCUCCUGAGCAAGCAUGUCCUUGCCCAGCUCAUCUGCUUCUCUCACCACUUUUGCCCUCACUCCCUCCACCUGUCCUCCAAAUGACUCAAAAUAAUCUGCACUAUUUAUUAUGCAUCUACUAUGUUCCAAGACAAUGAGGGUCAGCUGAGCCCGCAUUGCAGGAUGGAAAUUUCCAACUAUGUUCUGUUUACAGCUAAUGAUAUUUGCACCUAAUGCAAAGGUUUACAGACUUUACUGUUAUAGAAUCAUUUGGAAUACCUGUUGAAGAUGCAGACACCCACCUUACCAUACCUCCUAUUGCUAAGAUUACGCUUGAAAGGAUCUGAGGUAGGGGCUCUGGAUCUGCAUUUUUUAUUUUUUACAUCUCUAUACAUUAUUUUACAUAAAUGUAUAAAUGGAGUCAUGACAUACAUAUUGAAUUUUUCACUUACAAAAAUUUUUAUUCCGUGUAUUCCCUCUUCUCUUCCCCUACAUUAACAACCUAGUACAUUUCUUUAAAUAUUCUUGUAAUAGUGUAUAUCUGCACUUACAUAAAAUAACAUGUAAUUGUAUAAAAACAAUACAUAUUCAUGCAGAUAUGCAUACACUCUAAUACUGAGCUUUGGCAUUGUCUUGAAAAAGUUAGAUCAUAUGUAUAUUUUUCUGCAGCUGUUUUUCUCAAUACGUAUGGCAGAAUUUCUCAGCAAGAUGUGCAUUGUCAGAGAGACAGUCUUAAGGUUUCUUCCCCUAGUAUGCCACAUAAAUAUUAUCACUUUUUAUGUGUAGCAUGCCUAUAGAGUGAAAAGGGAAGCAUGGCCUAAUGGAAACCAUAUAUCUGAUUCAUUAUUCUUAACAACUGCAAAAAUCAGCAUAUGUAAAGGAUCUCAGGUGAUUUUUUUUUUUUUUUUUUUUGAGACCGAGUCUUACUCUGUCACCCAGGCUGGAGUGCAGUGGCACAAUCGUGGCUCACUACAACCUCCACCUCCCUUGUUUAAGCAAUUCUCCUGCCGAAUACGGGAGGCUGGAUAAUGUAUGAAGAAAAGAGGAUUAUUUGACUCAUGGUUCUGCAGGCUGUCAGCUUCAGAUGAGGGCCUUAUGCUGCUUCCACUCAUGCAGAAGGCAAAGGGGAGACUUCGUGCAGAGAUCACAUGGCUACAGUGCAAGAUGGGGCAUCAGGGGAGAGAAAGGGAGAAGCUGACUCUCGGUUCUUUUGAACAACCUGUUCUCAAGGAUGAGAACUCACUCUCAGGAGAAUAGCACCAAGCCAUUUGUGAGGAAUUCAUCCAUAUGGCCCAAACACCUCCCACCAGGCCCCAACUCCAGCACUGGGACUCAUAUUUCAACAUGACACUUUGCAGGUCCAAAGCCAUACCCAAACCAUAGCAGGGAGCUUAUUAAUUCAUUAGCCUCCAUGAAAUUUAGAAUUAUAGAAUGUGCGAGCUGAGAAGGAACCUCAGCCUCUCUCAUGAUUGAAGAAACUGGAGUUUGGACAGGUUAAGUAAUUUGUCUCAGACACCAAGGAAGUGAAUGGGGAAACAGGGAACAGAACUCAGGUCUCUUGACUAAUGUUUUAGACAUUAAAUAAAUAGGUUAUUAAAUGAAUAGAAUUAUUCUAUAUGAAUAAUUUCAUAUAGAAGGAAGAAAUGCUAUGUGCAAGGUAGAGAGAAAUUAUACAAGAAGCCUCAUUUGGUGCAGGAGUUCAUUUUACGGAAGGUACCUCCUAAAUUUGGUAGAACAAAGACUCAAAACCAGUCUAUGCCCUCUCUCCUGCAAACCAACCGUUUGAUCUUGAACAUAUCAACUCACCUUUCUAACCAGAGUUUCUACUCUAGUACAUCAUUCAAGUAUUUCUUGAGCAACUAAAACAGUGAUGUUGUGGAUAAAGCAGUAAACCAGGUAUAAAGCGUAAGGCCUGCUCCAGAAAACUUCCUAAAAGGCCUAGAACAUGGCUAAAGGAUAUCUCAGAUCCUUUGGACAGUUCUAACGUUCUAUUAAUCUGGGACAGUGGCUCACUCCUCCCUAACCCUGUUUCUUUUCCCCUCAGAGUGUGCCUCCCAUCAUCAUCAUGCUGCUUCUCCUCAGACUGACACUUUUAAUUGGUGAACCUAUUGAGCAGGGUCUAGAGUCUGAAUUCCUUGUUUUCUAAACUGCCUAGCUUAUAGCUGGGGAAUGCUAGGAAAAUGCCAAGUUAGAUAUUUACGUUUCUUGCCUCAAAAGGUUCACUGGAUUCUGGGUUCACUGAUGGAUUAGAACUGAAAUCCAUCAUCUCUUACAGUGGGUCUAGUCUCCAGAUUUGCUGCUGUGUCUGCUGAUACCCUCGACGCCCCAGCACCAGCCUAUCUGGCUCCCUAUUCUGCCACUGGCUACAUUUUCAGGCAAUAACAGAGGAGGUGCAGGCAUUGUGUGGUAGGCCAAAUAAUCCUCCCCUCCCCCAAAGAUGUCCAUGCUAUAAUCCCUAGAAUCUGUAAAUAUGUUACCUUACAUGGCAAAAGAGACUUUGCAGGUGUAAUUAAGGUUAAGAACCUUGAGAGGAGGGGAUUAUCCUGGAUUAUUCAAGUAGGCCCAAUGUAAUCACGAGUCCUUGAAAGUGGAAGAGGAAAGCAGAAGAGUUGCUGACUUUGAUGAUUGAGGAAGGGGUUCUUAAACUAGGGCAUGUGAGUGGCUUCUGAAGCUGGAAAGAACCCUCAGCUGACAGCCACCAAGGAAACAGAGAUUUCAGUCUUACAGACUCAAGGAACUACAUUCUACCAAUGAUCAAUGUACAAGGAAAUAGAUUUUCCCUCGAGCCUCCAGAAAGGAACCUAGCCUUGCUGACACUUUGAUUUUAGACUGGUGAAAUUCAUGCUGAACUUAUGACCUACAGAGUUGUAAAAUAAAUAAAUAAAUUUCUUGAUUGUGCAGAUUAUUUUGUUAAAAAAAGAAAAAAACCAAAUUUUUGUAUUAAGAUGCUAAAUUGGUAGUAAUUUGUUUCAGCAGACAGAAAAUCUAAUACAGAUGCUUCUUGAUUUACAAUGAGGCUAUACCCUGAUAAUCCCCAUCGUAAGGUGAAAAUGCA
RNAcentral lists this long non-coding RNA (4468 nucleotides) under Homo sapiens (human). RNAcentral's name for it is "non-protein coding SCAMP1-AS1:11". The record is from RNAcentral. Lineage: Eukaryota; Metazoa; Chordata; Mammalia; Primates; Hominidae.